GUGCUCUCUUUGGCAGCACAUAUACUAAAAUUGGAAUGAUACAGAGAAGACUUGUAUGGCCCCACACAAGGAUGACACGCAAAUUCAUGAAGUGUUAUUCCUCAAA
This is a small nuclear RNA of Nomascus leucogenys (northern white-cheeked gibbon), 106 nucleotides long. The record is from Ensembl. Lineage: Eukaryota; Metazoa; Chordata; Mammalia; Primates; Hylobatidae.